GGUUUGGAUAAAGCCUUUGGGAGUCCUCUGUUGAAGAGAGUCACACCUGCACAACAAGAUCAAAAAAUGUGUGACGAGGAGAGGGAAAGGAAAAGGUGAUAAUACAGGAACUUAAUUUCCUGGGGAAAGAAAGUUGAAACACAGACUGCAUGUCACCAUUAUAUUAGAUUUCCUUGAUGUUCUGUAAGAUAUCUUUUUAAGAAAGUGGUCAAAAAUGAAAAGUAGGACUGAAAAGUUUCUGCAUAAGAGCAAUUUCAAAGUCUGUCCUUUAAACAUUUAUGAACAGAAACCAAGAGACUGCACAGAAAAUUCAGACUGUGAAAUUCUACAUCAACAGACUAUUUUCAGAUUUCCUGUGGCUGCAAGGAUGUUCUCCAGAAGAGAAUAUGGAUCAAGUGGACCAGGCAGCUGGAUAAAAAGGGAAUAUGCCACAAGAAGAGGCCAGGAGAAGAAGUACCUGCUCUAAUGAGAACAUACAAGUUAUUCAAGGUGUGAAGUCUCUGUACCUACCUUUGGGAACUGGGUUCUUAGCUUGGCAAGUCAUUCAGUGCAUUCCUCACAUAAAGCUGCUAGGGAAUGGUAUUAAUUGCAAUAAGUCAAUAAGUUUGUAAGUUAAUCAGGUACUCAUCCAAGGCACAGGAAGAAUCUGUGCAAAGGAAUACUAUUCCCAGUAUUCCUAAUAUUACAUACAUAAUGGCUAUGGAACACAUAAAAAUAUAUAUGAAAAUGUUCAUGGUUUUGCUAUAAAACAAGC
Gallus gallus (chicken) is the source of this 754-nucleotide long non-coding RNA. The record is from Ensembl. Lineage: Eukaryota; Metazoa; Chordata; Aves; Galliformes; Phasianidae.